ACGUUGCAUGCAGGCGUCUUCUGCUUCUAUCCUUGUCUAAUCAGGCGUAUAGAUCGGUGUUACACUCGUGUAUUUAUCGUAGGAUCGUACACGCGUUGUUAGACAAGGACCAAAGAGGUCUCUACGCGUCGCUCGCUUUCUAUCCCGAUAUCGCUUUCUCAACUCGCUCGCGCGCUCUGUCUUCGUGUUUCUAUGCUCGAUAGCUGCACACCUCUCCUCGUCGUCCCUAUCACGUUCUUAGCACGCGAGUGCUUUAUCGACGUUUACUGACUUUUGUCGCCCGACUACGUGCAUUGUACACCGCGGAGAAUCAGUUUACUUUCAAUGAUAUCGCAAAAGGAAAACACCGAUACGGUGAAAGUGAUCGAAGCUUAACUCGUGGUCUACGCUUGUACAAAAAUAGCUUUUCUAAUUGCGUUUGUCCAUAUCGUUCAGCGUGUACAAGACCGACAAAAAACUUUUUUCGAUAGAAUGGCACGAAGAUGGACGAGUUGCAACGAGCUAAUCACACAGUCGUUCCGAUUCGAAGGAAACGUCAAUUUCAAUUUUCAGGCCGUAAAACAGCUUUAGAACGAUCGGAUGCUCGAAUUAUCGAAUCUAUCGACAAAUUUACAACGAAGGCCAGACCGAAUAAGACUAGAGAGAUAAGGAUUCGCGGAAGAUUUGAGGAGAAUGAGGAUGUAGAAGGCGAUGGAACACCUGGCUGAGGGCUGCAGACGCGGGAGUGCGAGGAUGAGCAUGGAGGUCUUUCUGAACGACGCAGGUACGGGCCUAGAGGAAAUGAAAAGAAUUUCGAGGGACGAGGAGGAAAGAGGGGUAGGCGCAGAGACGAAGGUGAUAACAGCAGGAUAAAGUUGGGUUAGCUGUAAUUAGAAAGAAAAACAGCUACCACAAUCUUACCUGGAAUAAACAAAAAUUAUGUACGAAAUAUCGAUCUAACGCAUAUUCGUUAUAAAAGUAUCGUUCUUUUUGUUUUACGUUACCAUGCGUUUAUUCGAGCAACGCAACAACAUUCGCAUCUUCUUCCGUAAAAUAAAAAUACAAUUGAUUUAGAAAAUAAAA
This is a long non-coding RNA of Bombus terrestris (buff-tailed bumblebee), 1062 nucleotides long. RefSeq lists it as uncharacterized. Lineage: Eukaryota; Metazoa; Arthropoda; Insecta; Hymenoptera; Apidae. The transcript has 2 exons. The record is from RefSeq and is a predicted model, not a curated record.